RNAcentral lists this ribosomal RNA (646 nucleotides) under Asplenium dalhousiae. Its description in RNAcentral is "eukaryotic LSU rRNA". The stretch from base 252 to 407 matches the Rfam family "5.8S ribosomal RNA". The record is from RNAcentral. Lineage: Eukaryota; Viridiplantae; Streptophyta; Polypodiopsida; Polypodiales; Aspleniaceae.
AACCUGCGGAAGGAUCAUUGUCGAUACCUGUCCAAAACAGAACGACCCGCGAACGUGUAACACCAACGUUGCAUCGUUGGGCUGGAGCAAUUGACUCUUCGUGACACUUGUCGGCGCGCGGUGCUUGCACUUGGUGGGCUAACGAACCCCGGCGCGGCAAGCGCCAAGGAAACACAAAUGGAAGCGUUGCUCCCCGUGACUCCCGUUCGCGGUGUGGUUUUGGGGUGUGAUGUAUCUUGAAAGUCAUAAACGACUCUCGGCAACGGAUAUCUCGGCUCGCGCAUCGAUGAAGAACGUAGCGAAAUGCGAUACUUGGUGUGAAUUGCAGAAUCCCGUGAACCAUCGAGUCUUUGAACGCAAGUUGCGCCCGAGGCCAUUCGGCCGAGGGCACGCCUGCCUGGGCGUCACGCAUCGCGUCGCCCCCUACACCAACCUGGUGCGGGGGCGGAUUGGCAUCCCGUGCCUCCGGUUGCCCAAAAAGGAUCCUCAUCGGCGAUGCACAACCAGUGGUGGUUGAAAGAUCAUUGUGUCCGCUUUUUGUGCUUCGACUCCCGUCGCAGCUUGGCAUCGCUACAAAACAAUGUGCUAGCGCGCUUCGACCGCGACCCAGGUCAAACGGGACUACCCGCUGAGUUUAAGCAUAUCA